Long non-coding RNA from Chenopodium quinoa (quinoa), 1321 nucleotides. RefSeq lists it as uncharacterized. The record is from RefSeq and is a predicted model, not a curated record. The transcript is spliced from 5 exons. Lineage: Eukaryota; Viridiplantae; Streptophyta; Magnoliopsida; Caryophyllales; Amaranthaceae.
UUUAAUAAGGAACUAGAAACUAAUCAGAACCGUUAGAUCUAAGAGAAGAGGCGCGCUAGAUCAGCGGCUAGGAUAUAUUCUGACAAAUUAAAUGAAAGUCCCACAAACAAAUUCGCGAUUUUCUCACUCCUCACCAACGCCGUUUUCGUUCUCCUUUACCAUUUUCGUUCUCCUCUACUCUAUUGACGCGGAUUCUGAGCUUUUCCUACUCCGUUGAAGCAUCUUCUGAGAUUCAUAUGUGAUUUGAAGUUCAAUACCAGCUUGAAGACUACAUAUUUAGCUCAAGUGGGAAGUUAGAAAGAUUACAUCCAUUGUAUUGGUUUUUACAUCUCAUAGCGGACGAUCGGUACAUUUUAGGAGUCGAGGAUGUAGAGGAUGAUGAUGAUGAUUCAUCUGGGGAUGGGGACGAGCUAUAUGAUGUCAACAAGGAGCAGAAUUUGGGUGAGGCAGAAGAUCAGGCUCACGAUGCUUUGGAGCGUAUGUUAGAUGAGUUUGAAAUUUCAGCUGAUCAAGCGCCUCCUAUCGAGAAUGCAAUGUCUGAGUCGUUGGGCGAGGAUCAAAGUGGAGGGGGGGUGAAGGGACAAGCGCAGAAAAAGAUGAGGGGUCCGACGACAAGUUUCAAGAAACCUGUCGGUCCAAUGGUCUUGGAGUAUGACAGGGUAGGACAACCGACAGGUAAAUGGCGUCGUCAGUAUGCUGUUCAAGUUGGGAUUUGUGCGCGCAAAAUCCCCAUUACUCUUCGUUUGAGCGACGUACCUAUUGGCUUGAUAGACACGUUUUGGAAUGAUACAAGGAGUCUAUUUAACAUUCCAAAUGAGUACGCCAAGUGAAGGGUGUUUGAAUCCUUACUUGCGACAAGAUUCAGAGGCUUCAAGACCACCUUAGUUUGUCGGUUUAUCACAAAGAAGCUUGUGAGAAAACCAAAGAACAAGAAAGGAGGUGGCAUGGAUGAUGAAGUCAUCGAUGAAGAGAAACUCCCAUGGCAAAUAUGGCCUAGUGUAUCAAAGGAAGAUUGGGAUGCUUUCGUUCUUCAAAAAAGCAAAAAAGAAGCAAUUGAAAUAAGGGAGCAGAAUUCCAAGAAUGCAUUGCAGAAGCAAUACUACCAUCGUAUGGGGUGUAUGACGUUAGAUGAAUGGAGGGAGACGUGGGUGAGUGAGGGAGUAUACCCCACUGUGCUUGUAGGGUCCUCCAGAGUGUCCUCUGACUCCACGACCAGUACUUUGGUGAGUUGUGCCGGAGAUUUCUUUUGUUCUUUGCAUUCUCGUGACAAGAAAACCGGAAAAUGAUCCAUCAAGGCUCCGGAAACGAAAUAAAUGGCAGA